UACGAAGGGGGCUAGCGUUGCUCGGAAUCACUGGGCGUAAAGGGUGCGUAGGCGGGUCUUUAAGUCAGGGGUGAAAUCCUGGAGCUCAACUCCAGAACUGCCUUUGAUACUGGGAGUCUCGAGUCCGAGAGAGGUGAGUGGAACUGCGAGUGUAGAGGUGAAAUUCGUAGAUAUUCGCAAGAACACCAGUGGCGAAGGCGGCUCACUGGCCCGAUACUGACGCUGAGGCACGAAAGCGUGGGGAGCAAACAGG
RNAcentral lists this ribosomal RNA (253 nucleotides) under uncultured bacterium. RNAcentral's name for it is "partial 16S ribosomal RNA". It matches the Rfam family "Bacterial small subunit ribosomal RNA", at positions 524 to 776 of the family's 1533-position model. The record is from RNAcentral.